RNAcentral lists this long non-coding RNA (641 nucleotides) under Mus spicilegus (steppe mouse). Its description in RNAcentral is "lncRNA (ENSMSIG00000012885.1)". The record is from RNAcentral. Lineage: Eukaryota; Metazoa; Chordata; Mammalia; Rodentia; Muridae.
CAUUUUCUUUCCCAGGGCAGUUGAGUUAGAAGAUUAGCCUCCCUUGCUUACUAAGAGAGGAAAUACUUCUUCCUCUACUCAGGGCAGCUGUAACCAGUUCUCCCAGAGAAAUCAUUAAACCUGAAGGAUCCUAGCACAGAGCCCAGAAGACGUGGCCGCCCUUCUUCCAGUCUCCCAGCUUACCCACUAAUUCAGCGCAGGCACCUUUCAGGGUCUUUACUACUGGCUGCUUCCUGUUCUGUCGCAAAACAAAAACUGUGUUAAGUAACCGAAACUUCUUGAAAUUCUCCUACAAAGCUCCUUUUAUGGAUAAAACUGAGCAUCUGUGUGAUGACAGAACACAGGUAUUCCCAGGAAGCAACACUGAGUAGCCCACAGCACUAACAAUUCCCCCCCUACCGCCCUAGCAACCACAUGAAUCCAUCAAAUCAGAAGAAAAAUAUGCCAAGAUCUCUGUGCAUGCUUAUCGCUGCAAAAUCAGGAGACUCCCUGGGGCAAGCAGAGAGUGCACGUCCUUCUAGGCCCUAGAAGACUCUAGAAUCUAGGACAAAGGGAAAGGGUCUGAAAAAUGACUCUACCUUCCACCUAACUCCCAUCAUAAAAAUGACAUCUUGUGAUUUUUCUAGGUUUGGUUCUAAACA